AGCGAACGCUGGCGGCAGGCUUAACACAUGCAAGUCGAGCGGGCACUCUCGGGUGUCCGCGGCGGACGGGUGGGUAACGGGGGGGAACGCACCCGCUGGUCCGGAAUAACUCAGGGAAACUUGAGCUAAUACCGGAUACGCCCUUUUGGGGUGAGGGGUUCUGCCGGUGGAUCGGGCCGCGUGGGAUUAGUUAGUUGGUGGGGUGACGGCGCCCCAAGGCGAGUAUUAGUAGGUGGUCAGAGAGGAAGAUCAGCCACACCGGGACUGAGACACGGCGCAGACUCCUACAGGAGGGAGCAGUGGGGGAUAUUGGAAUAUGGGGGCGAGGCUGAAGGAGCCAUGCCGCGUGAGUUAUGAAGGCCUUAGGGUUGUAAAGCUCUUUUAUCCGGGACGAUAAUGACGGUACCGGAGGAAUAAGCCCCGGCUAACUUCGUG
This 435-nucleotide ribosomal RNA is filed under the name uncultured bacterium. Its description in RNAcentral is "partial 16S ribosomal RNA". It matches the Rfam family "Bacterial small subunit ribosomal RNA", at positions 30 to 507 of the family's 1533-position model. The record is from RNAcentral.